RNAcentral lists this ribosomal RNA (467 nucleotides) under uncultured bacterium. Its description in RNAcentral is "partial 16S ribosomal RNA". It matches the Rfam family "Bacterial small subunit ribosomal RNA", at positions 28 to 507 of the family's 1533-position model. The record is from RNAcentral.
GAUGAACGCUGGCGGCGUGCUUAACACAUGCAAGUCGAACGGAAAGGCCCAAGCUUGCUUGGGUACUCGAGUGGCGAACGGGUGAGUAACACGUGGGUGAUCUGCCCUGCACUUCGGGAUAAGCCUGGGAAACUGGGUCUAAUACCGGAUAGGACCACAUUUUGGAUGGUGUGGUGGAAAGUUUUUCGGUGUGGGAUGAGCUCGCGGCCUAUCAGCUUGUUGGUGGGGUAAUGGCCUACCAAGGCGUCGACGGGUAGCCGGCCUGAGAGGGUGUACGGCCACAUUGGGGCUGAGAUACGGGCCAGACUCCUACGGGAGGCAGCAGAGGGGAAUAUUGCACAAUGGGCGCAAGCCUGAGGCAGCGACGCCGCGUGGGGGAUGACGGCCUUCGGGUUGUAAACUCCUUUCGCUAGGGACGAAGCGUUUUUGUGACGGUACCUGGAGAAGAAGCACCGGCUAACUACGUG